GCGCAUGAGAGAGACGAUGAUCAAGAUGAAUAUUUUCCCUCGCCACCCCUCACACACCCAUACCCAACCUACCCUUCCCACGCGAUAACUCCGGGAAACCGGUGCUAAUACCGAAUAGUUUGCGGCCUCUCAUGAGGCUGUACGGAAAGACGGUUUCGGCUGUCACUGCAGGAUGGGCCCGCGGCGCAUUAGCUAGUUGGUGGGGUAACGGCCCACCAAGGCGACGAUGCGUAGCCGACCUGAGAGGGUGAUCGGCCACACUGGGACUGAGACACGGCCCAGACUCCUACGGGAGGCAGCAGUAGGGAAUCUUCCGCAAUGGACGAAAGUCUGACGGAGCAACGCCGCGUGAGUGAAGAAGGUUUUCGGAUCGUAAAACUCUGUUGUGAGGGAAGAACAAGUACCAAGUAACUACUGGUACCUUGACGGUACCUCACCAGAAAGCCACGGCUAACUACGUGCCAGCAGCCGCGGUAAUACGUAGGUGGCAAGCGUUGUCCGGAAUUAUUGGGCGUAAAGCGCGCGCAGGCGGUCCUUUAAGUCUGAUGUGAAAGCCCACGGCUCAACCGUGGAAGUCAUUGGAAACUGGGGGACUUGAGUGCAGAAGAGGAAAGUGGAAUUCCACGUGUAGCGGUGAAAUGCGUAGAGAUGUGGAAGAACACCAGUGGCGAAGGCGACUUUCUGGUCUGUAACUGACGCUGAGGCGCGAAAGCGUGGGGAGCAAACAGGAAUAAAUUACCUUGGUAGUCCACGCCGUAAACGAUUAAGUGCUAAGUGGUAGGG
Molecule: ribosomal RNA, 783 nt
Filed under: Planococcus plakortidis
Lineage: Bacteria; Bacillati; Bacillota; Bacilli; Caryophanales; Caryophanaceae
Description: bacterial SSU rRNA
Rfam family: Bacterial small subunit ribosomal RNA
Source: RNAcentral